This 549-nucleotide ribosomal RNA is filed under the name uncultured bacterium. RNAcentral describes it as "bacterial SSU rRNA". It matches the Rfam family "Bacterial small subunit ribosomal RNA", at positions 355 to 896 of the family's 1533-position model. The record is from RNAcentral.
UGGGGAAUUUUGCGCAAUGGGCGAAAGCCUGACGCAGCAACGCCGCGUGGGUGAUGAAGGUCUUCGGAUCGUAAGACCCUGUCGUCAGGGACGAAGGUUGCAUGUCUAACAGAUGUGUAACUUGACGGUACCUGGAGAGGAAGCCCCGGCUAACUCUGUGCCAGCAGCCGCGGUAAUACAGAGGGGGCAAGCGUUAUUCGGAAUUAUUGGGCGUAAAGGGCGCGUAGGCGGUGUCUUAAGUGAGAUGUGUAAUCCCCGAGCUUAACUUGGGAACUGCAUCUCAGACUGGGGCGCUAGAGUGCUGGAGAGGGUGGUAGAAUUCCACGUGUAGCGGUGAAAUGCGUAGAGAUGUGGAGGAAUACCAGUGGCGAAGGCGGCCACCUGACAGUAACUGACGCUGAGGCGCGAAAGUGUGGGGAGCAAACAGGAUUAGAUACCCUGGUAGUCCACGCUGUAAACGAUGAACACUUGGUGUGGUGGGAGUUGACCCCCGCCGUGCCGUAGCUAACGCGAUAAGUGUUCCGCCUGGGGAGUACGGUCGCAAGGCUG